Molecule: unclassified non-coding RNA, 191 nt
Filed under: uncultured Russula
Lineage: Eukaryota; Fungi; Basidiomycota; Agaricomycetes; Russulales; Russulaceae
Description: sequence contains ITS1
Source: RNAcentral
UCGUACAACGGAGGUGCAAGGGCUGUCGCUGACCUUCAAAGGUCGUGCACGCCUAAGCACUCUCUCACAUCCAUCUCACCCCUUUUGUGCACCACCGCGUGGACCCCCCCUUCUUUGCGGAGAGGGUCUGCGUUUUCACACAAAACUUGAUACAGUGUAGAAUGUCUUUUUGCGGUCACACGCAAUCAAUA